GUGAGUAGUUCAGAGUUUGAUCCUGGCUCAGGACGAACGCUGGCGGCGUGCUUAACACAUGCAAGUCGAACGGGGAGUCAUUGAACGGAAGGCUUCGGCUGGAAGAUUGAUGAUUCCAGUGGCGGACGGGUGAGUAACGCGUGAGCAACCUGUCCCAGACAGGGGAUAACACUUGGAAACAGGUGCUAAUACCGCAUAAAACCGUAGUACCGCAUGGUACAUCGGUCAAAGAUUUAUUGCUGAGAGAUGGCCUCGCGUCUGAUUAGCUAGUUGGUAGGGUAACGGCCUACCAAGGCGACGAUCAGUAGCCGGACUGAGAGGUUGACCGGCCACAUUGGGACUGAGAUACGGCCCAG
This 356-nucleotide ribosomal RNA is filed under the name uncultured bacterium. RNAcentral describes it as "bacterial SSU rRNA". It matches the Rfam family "Bacterial small subunit ribosomal RNA", at positions 1 to 334 of the family's 1533-position model. The record is from RNAcentral.